AUUGCAGAAUCCCGUGAACCAUCGAGUCUUUGAACGCAAGUUGCGCCCGAAGCCGUCAGGCCGAGGGCACGUCUGCCUGGGCGUCACG
RNAcentral lists this ribosomal RNA (88 nucleotides) under Convolvulus deserti. Its description in RNAcentral is "partial 5.8S ribosomal RNA". It matches the Rfam family "5.8S ribosomal RNA", at positions 71 to 154 of the family's 154-position model. Rfam says of the family: 5.8S ribosomal RNA (5.8S rRNA) is a component of the large subunit of the eukaryotic ribosome. It is transcribed by RNA polymerase I as part of the 45S precursor that also contains 18S and 28S rRNA. The record is from RNAcentral. Lineage: Eukaryota; Viridiplantae; Streptophyta; Magnoliopsida; Solanales; Convolvulaceae.